UUUCCGUAGGUGAACCUGCGGAAGGAUCAUUACUGAGUGAGGGCCCUCUGGGUCCAACCUCCCACCCGUGUUUAUUGUACCUUGUUGCUUCGGUGAGCCCGCCUCACGGCCGCCGGGGGGCAUCUGCCCCCCGGGCCCGCGCUCGCCGAAGGCACCCUUGAACUCUGUCUGAAGUUUGCAGUCUGAGCGAAAACUAAAUAAGUUAAAACUUUCAACAACGGAUCUCUUGGUUCCG
Molecule: unclassified non-coding RNA, 235 nt
Filed under: plant metagenome
Description: partial contains small subunit ribosomal RNA, internal transcribed spacer 1, and 5.8S ribosomal RNA
Source: RNAcentral